GGGGGCGAAAUAGGAUCGACGAGGGUGUAAAAGGUGGUCUUUCGCUCGGCAUGGUACCGCCGUUUUGGGCCAAAAUGAUAGUUGCGAAUGACAACUAUGCUGGUGCUCGUCCCGUCGCGAUUGCGGCGUAACUGCACCGAACUAAAGUCCUGAUGGCGUAGCUGCUAUUAGGCGCGGCUGGCGGGCGCCGGGCAACAGAAGCCCGCCAC
Molecule: transfer-messenger RNA, 209 nt
Filed under: Rhodomicrobium vannielii ATCC 17100
Lineage: Bacteria; Pseudomonadati; Pseudomonadota; Alphaproteobacteria; Hyphomicrobiales; Hyphomicrobiaceae
Description: transfer-messenger RNA Rhodo_vanni_17100
Rfam family: Alphaproteobacteria transfer-messenger RNA
About the family: Bacterial tmRNA, also known as 10Sa RNA or SsrA, is named for its dual tRNA and mRNA-like properties.
Source: RNAcentral